GACGAACGCUGGCGGCGUGCUUUACACAUGCAAGUCGAACGAGAACCUUCCUUCGGGAAGCAGAGAGUGGCGAACGGGUGAGUAACACGUGGGCAACCUACCCCUCACACUGGGAUAACCUCGGGAAACCGGGGCUAAUACCGGAUAUUCACGACCUCGGGCAUCCGAGGACGUGGAAAGGAUUCUGGUGAGGGAUGGGCCCGCGGCCUAUCAGUUUGUUGGUGGGGUAAUGGCCUACCAAGACGACGACGGGUAGCCGGCCUGAGAGGGCGACCGGCCACACUGGGACUGAGACACGGCCCAGACUCCUACGGGAGGCUGCAGUGGGGAAUAUUGCGCAAUGGACGAAAGUCUGACGCAGCAACGCCGCGUGAGGGAUGAAGUACAUCGAGAUGUAAACCUCUUUCAGCAGGGACGAAGCGAAAGUGACGGUACCUGCAGAAGAAGCGCCGGCUAACUACGUG
This 464-nucleotide ribosomal RNA is filed under the name uncultured bacterium. RNAcentral's name for it is "bacterial SSU rRNA". It matches the Rfam family "Bacterial small subunit ribosomal RNA", at positions 28 to 507 of the family's 1533-position model. The record is from RNAcentral.